AUACGGAGGAUGCGAGCGUUAUCCGGAUUUAUUGGGUUUAAAGGGUGCGUAGGCGGUUUUUUAAGUCAGCGGUGAAACGCAAGGGCUCAACCCUUGACCUGCCGUUGAAACUGGAGGACUUGAAUGCGGAUGCUGUGGGAGGAAUGUGUGGUGUAGCGGUGAAAUGCAUAGAUAUCAUACAGAACACCGAUUUCGAAGGCAUCUCACAAAUCCGUGAUUGACGCUGAGGCACGAAAGUGUGGGAAUCAAACAGGAUUAGAUACCCUGGUAGUCCACAGUGUAAACGAUGAUGACUCGCUGUCGGCGAUAUACAGUCGGUGGCCAAGCGAAAGCGAUAAGUCAUCCACCUGGGGAGUACGACCGCAAGGUUGAUACUCAAAGGAAUUGACGGGG
RNAcentral lists this ribosomal RNA (393 nucleotides) under uncultured bacterium. Its description in RNAcentral is "partial 16S ribosomal RNA". It matches the Rfam family "Bacterial small subunit ribosomal RNA", at positions 523 to 918 of the family's 1533-position model. The record is from RNAcentral.